ACGGAGGGUGCAAGCGUUAUCCGGAUUUAUUGGGUUUAAAGGGUCCGUAGGCGGGAUUAUAAGUCAGUGGUGAAAUCUUUCGGCUCAACCGGAAAAUUGCCAUUGAUACUGUAGUUCUUGAGUAUGCUCGAUGUAGGCGGAAUAUGUCAUGUAGCGGUGAAAUGCAUAGAUAUGACAUAGAACACCGAUAGCGAAGGCAGCUUACAAGCGCAUUACUGACGCUGAUGGACGAAAGCGUGGGGAGCGAACAGG
This 252-nucleotide ribosomal RNA is filed under the name uncultured bacterium. Its description in RNAcentral is "partial 16S ribosomal RNA". It matches the Rfam family "Bacterial small subunit ribosomal RNA", at positions 525 to 776 of the family's 1533-position model. The record is from RNAcentral.